CCUACGGGCGGCAGCAGUGGGGAAUAUUGCACAAUGGGGGAAACCCUGAUGCAGCGACGCCGCGUGAGUGAAGAAGUAUUUCGGUAUGUAACGCUCUAUUCGCAGGAACGAGACAAGAUGGUACCUGACUAAGAAGCCCCGGCUAACUACGUGCCAGCAGCCGCGGUAAUACGUAGGGGGCAAGCGUUAUCAGUAAUCACUGGGCGUAAAGGGACCGUAGACGGUUGUGCAAGCCUGAAGUGAAAGGCGGGGGCCCAACCCCUGGACUGCAGUGGGAACUGUACGGCUGGAGUGCAGGAGAGGUAAGUGGAAGUCGUAGUGUAGCGGUGAAAUGCGUAGAGAUAAGGAAGAACACCAGUGGCGAAGGCGGCUUACUGGACUGUAACUGACGUUGAGGCUCGAAAGCGUGGGGAGCAAACAGGAGUAGAUACCCGAGUAGUC
Molecule: ribosomal RNA, 441 nt
Filed under: uncultured bacterium
Lineage: Bacteria
Description: partial 16S ribosomal RNA
Rfam family: Bacterial small subunit ribosomal RNA
Source: RNAcentral